GGCCUCGUCGCCAAGUGGUAAGGCAACGGUCUGCAACACCGUCAUCACCAGUUCAAAUCUGGUCGAGGCCUCCA
RNAcentral lists this transfer RNA (74 nucleotides) under Desulfuromonadales bacterium. RNAcentral's name for it is "tRNA-Cys". It matches the Rfam family "tRNA". Rfam says of the family: Transfer RNA (tRNA) molecules are approximately 80 nucleotides in length. The record is from RNAcentral. Lineage: Bacteria; Pseudomonadati; Thermodesulfobacteriota; Desulfuromonadia; Desulfuromonadales.